Non-coding RNA from Callithrix jacchus (white-tufted-ear marmoset), 618 nucleotides. Lineage: Eukaryota; Metazoa; Chordata; Mammalia; Primates; Cebidae. The record is from RefSeq and is a predicted model, not a curated record.
UUGCCUGGUAGCUGGGAGCAAAUUCUAAGAGCUAAGUGCCUCCAGAGACGGACUGCAUGAUCCAGCCUUGUGAUUUCAGAUGGAAGAAAAGCUAAUAUCAUGCAGGAGAGUGACUUUUUCUCUCAUGCCUGCUCUUUCUGAGGCUCUCUGCAGCUGAAAAGUACUCCGGAGUGGGGCCUUCCCUAAGGAGAAAACUUCGAAGACACAACAAAGUAAUCAGCAAGGUGAACUGCCCUGGACCUGCAGAUAAGAAAGGUUUUCCCUGUCCUAGACAAGGAAGAGUGAAGAAGGAAAGAUAUCAAAGAUAUCUACCGGUGCAGUGGGGUGAGACGUAAGAAUUACAGCAUUCAAAAUAAUAGCUAAUCAUUAUCAAGAGCUUACUAUGUGCCAGGCACUAUCCUAUCUGCUCUCACACCUGCGGCAUCUAAUCCAAACAAUACCUGAGAAGGAGGGUGUACAGUUAAUGUCUAGAAUAUAUUAACGGAAUGCUGCCCUGUAGAAGUCUUGAGUUAAUGGUUUCUAUCAACGUAGGCGUGGAAGAAGCUACUAGGGAUCACGAAUCAGAAGUCCUGGCUUUAAGCCCUAGCUUUAGCCCUCACUGGCAAUAAAAUCAAAGCA